RNAcentral lists this RNase P RNA (415 nucleotides) under Spirochaetaceae bacterium. Its description in RNAcentral is "RNase P RNA component class A". It matches the Rfam family "Bacterial RNase P class A". Rfam says of the family: Ribonuclease P (RNase P) is a ubiquitous endoribonuclease, found in archaea, bacteria and eukarya as well as chloroplasts and mitochondria. Its best characterised activity is the generation of mature 5'-ends of tRNAs by cleaving the 5'-leader elements of precursor-tRNAs. Cellular RNase Ps are ribonucleoproteins. Lineage: Bacteria; Pseudomonadati; Spirochaetota; Spirochaetia; Spirochaetales; Spirochaetaceae. The record is from RNAcentral.
CAGAAAAUAUAUGGUCGCUGUUUCUAUAAUUCAUUGGGUUAUAGAAAGAGAGGAAAGUCCGGGCUCCUUCGGAAAGGACGCCGGUUAACAACCGGGAGUAGCAUUGGUGACGAUGCUGCUACAGAGAGCGCAGCAGAAAACAAACCGCCUUGUUUACAAGGUAAGGGUGAAAUGGUGGGGUAAGAGCCCACCGGGCAGACGGUAACGGAUGUCGCAUGGCAAGCCUCGUCUGGAGCAAGACCAAGCAGUGGCUGUAACUCCGAUAUGGAAGCAGAUCCUUUGGGGUUGUUUCCACAGCUACGGGUAGGUUGCUGGAGAUACAGGGAAAUCUGUAUCCUAGAUAGAUGACCAUGCUUGAUGGUGACUUUUAGUUGCCAUCAAGUGACAGAACCCGGCUUAUUAUAUUUUCUGUCUU